This 275-nucleotide ribosomal RNA is filed under the name uncultured bacterium. RNAcentral describes it as "partial 16S ribosomal RNA". It matches the Rfam family "Bacterial small subunit ribosomal RNA", at positions 399 to 691 of the family's 1533-position model. The record is from RNAcentral.
GCGUGAGUGAUGACGGCCUUAGGGUUGUAAAGCUCUUUCGCCGGUGAAGAUAAUGACGGUAACCGGUAAAGAAGCCCCGGCUAACUUCGUGCCAGCAGCCGCGGUAAUACGAAGGGGGCUAGCGUUGUUCGGAAUUACUGGGCGUAAAGCGCACGUAGGCGGACACUUAAGUCAGGGGUGAAAUCCCGGGGCUCAACCUCGGAAUUGCCUCUGAUACUGGGUGUCUCGAGUCCGAGAGAGGUGAGUGGAACUCCGAGUGUAGAGGUGAAAUUCGU